Molecule: ribosomal RNA, 460 nt
Filed under: uncultured bacterium
Lineage: Bacteria
Description: partial 16S ribosomal RNA
Rfam family: Bacterial small subunit ribosomal RNA
Source: RNAcentral
CCUACGGGAGGCAGCAGUGAGGAAUAUUGGUCAAUGGGCGUAAGCCUGAACCAGCCAAGUCGCGUGAGGGAUGAAGGUUCUAUGGAUCGUAAACCUCUUUUAUAAGGGAAUAAAGUGUGGGACGUGUCCUGUUUUGUAUGUAACUUAUGAAUAAGGAUCGGCUAACUCCGUGCCAGCAGCCGCGGUAAUACGGAGGAACCGAGCGUUAUCCGGAUUUAUUGGGUUUAAAGGGUGCGUAGGCGGCCUUUUAAGUAAGCGGUGAAAGUCUGUGGCUAAACCAUAGAAUUGCCGUUGAAACUGGGAGGCUUGAGUAUGUUUGAGGCAGGCGGAAUGCGUGGUGUAGCGGUGAAAUGCUUAGAUAUCACGCAGAACCCCGAUUGCGAAGGCAGCCUGCCAAGCCAUGACUGACGCUGAUGCACGAAAGCGUGGGGAUCAAACAGGAUUAGAUACCCCAGUAGUC